Long non-coding RNA from Oncorhynchus gorbuscha (pink salmon), 452 nucleotides. RefSeq lists it as uncharacterized. Lineage: Eukaryota; Metazoa; Chordata; Actinopteri; Salmoniformes; Salmonidae. The transcript is spliced from 4 exons. The record is from RefSeq and is a predicted model, not a curated record.
CCGAUAUAUAAUUCCAGAAUUUGUUAAGUAUAGGGUUAGGGUUAGAGUUAAGGGUUUGAUUAAAGGUCAGUUUUAGAUUUUGAGUAUUCGUCUUGAAAGUCAGCAGUGUCCUUCGUCUCACAAUCUCCACCAUCAGUCUGCCUGCUCCUGCAUUACCUCCAAAUCACCAGAUGGUGACAGUACUCACCCAGGAAUCACUGUGCUUGCAAGCAUGGAUGAUGAAAGCUGCUCAGCAAUGCCCAGGACAGAGGAGACCAUCACAAAGAGAGAGGCCUCUGACAUCAUGAAGAGUAUUGGAGAGGCCACCCAGUUCAACAUCUCUCAAAUAAAUCAAGCCAAGCCGUGUUACACACCAUACUACAUCGGUAAGGACACACAUACACACACACACACACACACACACUCACACACACACACACACACACACACACACACACACACACACACACACA